CAGAUGGAGGUGGAUGUAGCAGAUGAGAACCACCAUUGCACACGCUCAAAAGUUCCCCUGGAGCCAGCCAUACAAGAGUUGUUCAGCGUGUAUGGCUGUCCUGUCGCCAAGAAGAGAAAACCCCUGGAGAGUCAUACCCUGGAGCCCUCGCCCAAGAGGAAGGUCUUUCUCACAGUCAUAGGCCAACAGUCAAUGGAGAAAUGCUAUAACAUACAC
Long non-coding RNA from Sinocyclocheilus grahami, 216 nucleotides. RefSeq lists it as uncharacterized. Lineage: Eukaryota; Metazoa; Chordata; Actinopteri; Cypriniformes; Cyprinidae. The transcript is spliced from 3 exons. The record is from RefSeq and is a predicted model, not a curated record.